GCUCAGUACGGCGAGUGAAGCGGCAAAAGCUCAAAUUUGAAAUCUAGCACCUUCGGUGUUCGAGUUGUAAUUUGAAGAUGGUAACCUUGGGUUUGGCUCUUGUCUAUGUUCCUUGGAACAGGACGUCAUAGAGGGUGAGAAUCCCGUCUGAUGAGAUGCCCAUUCCUAUGUAAGGUGCUAUCGAAGAGUCGAGUUGUUUGGGAAUGCAGCUCUAAGUGGGUGGUAAAUUCCAUCUAAAGCUAAAUAUUGGCGAGAGACCGAUAGCGAACAAGUACAGUGAUGGAAAGAUGAAAAGAACUUUGAAAAGAGAGUGAAAAAGUACGUGAAAUUGUUGAAAGGGAAGGGCAUUAGAUCAGACUUGGUGUUUUACGAUUAUCUUCUCUUCUUGAGUUGUGCACUCGUAUUUCACUGGGCCAGCAUCGAUUCGGAUGGCAAGAUAAUGGCAGUUGAAUGUGGCUUCACUUCGGUGGAGUGUUAUAGCUUCUGCUGAUAUUGCCUGUCUGGAUCGAGGGCUGCGUCUUUUGACUAGGAUGCUGGCGUAAUGAUCUAAUGCCGCCCGUCU
This 562-nucleotide ribosomal RNA is filed under the name Wickerhamomyces sp. Z4Y32. RNAcentral describes it as "eukaryotic LSU rRNA". It matches the Rfam family "Eukaryotic large subunit ribosomal RNA", at positions 78 to 654 of the family's 3401-position model. Lineage: Eukaryota; Fungi; Ascomycota; Saccharomycetes; Phaffomycetales; Wickerhamomycetaceae. The record is from RNAcentral.